GCGAAAGUGGCGGAAUUGGUAGACGCCCUGGAUUUAGGUUCCAGUGCCCAAGGCGUGCGGGUUCGAGUCCCGCCUUUCGCACCA
This 84-nucleotide transfer RNA is filed under the name Stenotrophomonas maltophilia. RNAcentral's name for it is "tRNA-Leu". It matches the Rfam family "tRNA". From Rfam's summary of the family: Transfer RNA (tRNA) molecules are approximately 80 nucleotides in length. Their secondary structure includes four short double-helical elements and three loops (D, anti-codon, and T loops). Further hydrogen bonds mediate the characteristic L-shaped molecular structure. tRNAs have two regions of fundamental functional importance: the anti-codon, which is responsible for specific mRNA codon recognition, and the 3' end, to which the tRNAs corresponding amino acid is attached (by aminoacyl-tRNA synthetases). tRNAs cope with the degeneracy of the genetic code in two manners: having more than one tRNA (with a specific anti-codon) for a particular amino acid; and 'wobble' base-pairing, i.e. permitting non-standard base-pairing at the 3rd anti-codon position. Lineage: Bacteria; Pseudomonadati; Pseudomonadota; Gammaproteobacteria; Lysobacterales; Lysobacteraceae. The record is from RNAcentral.